GAGAAGAAGGUCUUGGGCACCCCAUGAACGUGUGCGUAGGGUAACCUUCUUUAUUUACAGCAAUAUAUCGGUGACUAAAUGUCAACGGAAACAGAAGCAAGUACUUGUUAGGUCGAUUUAUAGUUCGACAUCCAUCAAGCUUGUAAGAACUGAUGACGAAAAUGCAAUGACCUAUUCUUGAGCACAGAUGAUCAGUAAGCAUACAAGAAGAUAAGGUUGCAAUUCGUGCCUUGCUGACCAUGCUUGAUGUUGUGGGAAACAGUCUGGAGCCGUGGCCUCGGGGCCGACGCGGCUCGGCUCGGAUCCGGAUGACGGGGGAUCUUCCCAUGACCGGUUUCGAAUCCGCCGAGAUGGUCGGUUACGGUGGUCCAAUUCGGGACGGGAUCAGCCGUCUCCGCUGGAGGGGCCUCCUUGGCUGGGGACGCACCCCGUCUUCUUUCCUGCACACAAGUCGGGUCGGGAGGCUCGACCCGACCCCUCCGACGAUCGAGUCAGUAGAUAGUGGAGGGGGUUUCGGAAGAAGAAGAGUUUGAGGUAUCUCCCUGGUGUAUUCUCUCCUCCGUCCUCCCUCCCUCCUCCCUCACGCUCGUUUAGAGUGCGAGGGUAUUUAUAAGGAGGCUUACUGUUUCCUGAUGUGCCCGCUUGCAGGGGGUAGGCUGAUAACGUCUGACACUGGCGUGGCGUGAAGAACCGAGCCUGAGCAGGCGUUAAUGUGCCUCGACCGGCGUUCUAGUUCGUUUGACCAGGUGUCGUUGUGUCGUCCGAGGCGUGAGGCGUCAUCUGACGUCAACCGAGUCUUAUCAUAAUUACUAUCCUCAUCACUUGACAUCAUUUUUCCUUUACUGGCUCUUCUCGCAUUGCUGGACUCAUACCGACAAUUUCUUCAUUUUCCUUUCGUUUAAUCUUGUUAAUUUUUGGAUAUUUAAGUUGGUCACCCGUUGUAUCAGACGAAGAAAAGAAAGAAAGAAAGAAAACCUCAUGCUCGUCUUGUUUGUUAUCUAUUUAAGAAAGAAUAUACAGAUAGAAUAUUUCUUCUUCUAUAAUCUUAAGCUUUAAAAUACCAUGUAUGGAACAAGCUGUGAUCAAAUCCUGACUGUGUGCAUCUCUUUCCUAACGAGAUCUCAUUAAUCUAAAGAGGAGGACUAAUCAAGACAACUAUAGCAAAGAAAGAUUUAGAGUACCAGUACUCAAAAGGGAAAUCCUAGCAACUACAGUCUCAUUUGAGCAGUUUGGAUGUAACCAGUCUCAUGGCUUCCACCACGCAAGAAGUUUCUCUUCAAAAAAUAUAACAAAACCUUCAAUCCAACAAACGAGUCUUAACAAAGCUGGAUAAGAACAUAUCAGAAUGGUGAGUCUCAUCGGCGCUUUCUAAGAUAUAUCUGGUGGAAGAGGCCGGAGGAGGAGACGUAGGGGGAGGCAGAAGCAUUCAGGAUCUCUCAAUUUAAUACAAAUAUUUAGAUUUGAUAACAGACCUCGUUACAGAAGUUUCACGGCGCAGAAGAGGCACAAUCGACCAUGCAUGCACUCAACUCACAGAGCGAUUAAAGAUCACAACAUUACUGAACUGGGAUCAAGGUGUUCUUAUUAUACUCAAACUGUUGAUGAAGUCAGACACUGCAAAUCAUCCCUAUUUAUUUAUCCCCAAACAAGUAGCCAAGUGAUGAGCUUCCACCAGGAACUGACUGAACCUUCGUAAAUGGGCGACCCUGUGAAAACAAAGCAAAAGAAAUCGUUUCACUGUUUUCACAUCAAAGAUGGCGGCAACAUGGUCUAAAUAUUAGCAAGAAUGCAGGUUAUAAAUACUGCUCACAGUGAUGAAGUUCCCUGAAUUCUGGCCUCGAGCUCUGUAGUAGUUGUUGGUGGAAACAGGUUUGUUCGGUGCAGCAGAUUGGUCUGUUGCUUUGGUCUUGCUAUCUUCAUCAGAUGGAGGCUUCUGCUGCCCGGUCGACUUGGGAGAUCCCUCGAAGGAGGUGGUGCCCUCGUCUGACUCAAAGAGGUAACUCAAAGAGCUUUUGCCGCCCCCGAAGCUCUCACCUCUACUCAUGCUUUGCUUCUUCCACGAAACUUUCUGUACUAUAGAGUUGCCAGCACUUCUGAGAAGAUGGCGUACGUUGAUAUAGUACGAGAAUGGGGUCUUGUUUAUGAUGAUGGCAUGCACACUACAUGAUCAUCAUACAUGCAGACAUGUGUUUGAUAGAAUGGUUUAUACUCACACUAAAGCAAAGAUAGAAUGGUUUCUCGUGGUUAAGAGCAUGCAAUGACUUCAUGAACAUCAACAUGUCUGAACAUACCGCUUAAGUGCCAUCUCACAAAGGAGAUGAAGUUGGUUAAAGGUCGUUGUACGAUGGGUUCAAAGGGAGCUGGAACAGCAGGACUUCCAGAUUGCAUCUGCUAAUGCUAGCGUCCGAAGACAGCAUUCCAUGAACUACCGUAUAUUAGCGGAGUUGCUUCUACUUGCAACAGGUGUCAUAGUCCAUAUGUACGUUGGUCAAGAAAGAGGCAGCACAAUCUCUGGUUUGAUUCUGAUAAGAUAGCAUUAAGUGAAGGAUCGCGAUCAUAAGACAUCCUUGAAGAAAGAAAAAGCACGGUAACGACCCUACCUGCAGAUAAGGCGGUACUUCAGGAGAGCACGGCUUCCACGUCCUAUGAAGUGAGGGGAAGCAUAACAUCGUUCACUGGUUGACGGUGAGUUAGGCGCCAUCUCACAUCGGAUUAAGGUGGGCUUUGAUAUCAAACUUUUGAUAUGAAAGGACAUGGGAGGGACAGAGUGAGGUCUGGUCCUGUGUUCGUCUGGUGCGCAGCUGCUGCGUUGAAGUUUCUCCGUUUCUAGCCACCAGUCUCCUUCGUCUAUUGUUCUUCGAGGGGAUCACGGUCCGGCCCGAGAUACAUUGUCAUUUUGGGCUGGGGUCAACCUUAAUGACAUGUAAUGAGAUAAGAAGGGGCCGGGCCUACGUAAGUUGGUGAGUCGUCACGUGUAGCUUCUGAUGGGCCCUACUUCUGGUUCGGCCUACCUCGCCUCGUAGGCGUUUGGUCUCUCUCUCAAGUCGGCUUCCUCCUUCUUUGCCAAGAAAAGCAACUCUGGUCCGGUGGAGGAUCUGGAACCCCCGUGGCAAGAACGAUCUCCGACGGCCCGGAAGCAGCGAUCUAUCGGCGGCAGCGACGGGCUUGGCGUCGGCCUCUGCCGCUGGACCGAAGGCAUGGUCCGCUGCCUUCCGCCUCAUGAGGCAAAUGGUUUGUUAUCUCCUUUUCAGAAGCAUUUGCGCAUAUCUACCAAUUGACAUCUGUUUAUAAUCGUUGCUUCGGCUCCUACUUUUGUACCAUUCUUGGUUAUUGAAUCCUUUUCUCUCCCCUCAUCUUCGUCCGUGGAUAGAUGGAUCGAUCGCAUUGCCAUUUCUUCGUUCUUGAAACGAUGGUGGUAAACCGAACUUCUCGCUCGCGUAUUUUCUUGCAGGGAUGGGACGAAGGCGAGGCCUUGGCAAAGACGAGCAAGGCAUUCAGGACAGGUAUUGGCGUAGAUAGAUCUUUCAAAACUGCAUUAUUGACACCUCUCAGUUUGACAAUUUCCUCAAUAUAUAUUCAAAGCGGUGAUUCUCUUAUGAAAUCGAGUAUUACUUAUGAGAUUUUUUUUUUUUGCGUUGAUCAAUGAUCAAUCUUUGGAACACUUGCAUAGACAUCCUGAUACUCAAUAUCGAGUUGUGCUCUUUACUAUCUUGUGUCGUAUUCUGUUUCAAUCAUCUCUAUUUGGUAGAACCAUCGAAGGGAGAUGAUGCUGAUCAAAUUAAGUCUAGACAAGAUGCACUGGAGCAUGAUGUGGUCAAUGAAGGUUGACUCGUACCCCUCAACUUUAUAUCAUUCCUUAAGCUUAUAAUUUUCUUUUUGAAGUAACUAGAAAGAUCCUUAGUUAUUAAUAGGUACAAAAAAAAGGAGAGAGGGGGAAGAUUGUGAAAGCAUACUCGGAAGACCUUCAAGGAAUUCUUGUAAAGUAUUAUCCUGUUACUUCCUCCUUUUUGUUCCAUUCGAGUUUGAUCUUUUGCCAUGUUAUUUUGAUAUCACCAAUUGAAUUUGUUAGGUUGCUUGUAUUAAGGCAUUCUGAUGAGUGUCACACCUCUUGUGUUUUAGACUUUUUUCUUGAUUAGUUAUAUGUCCUCACCACCCUGUUCAUGUAUGAGAGCAAAUUUGUUCAUGGAAUGGUAUAUGCAGGGAAACAAACUGAAGAGAAUUGUCUUAAUGAUCUUGAUCCACCCAUCGAACAUCCUUUUCUAGUGGCUGAUCCACAUGUUCCUCAAGUUUUGGGUGAAGUAAUAUAUUUCAAUGUCCUAUCACGAGUGUCUUUUUCAGUCCUUCUGCAUUUCCAUUUGCUUUCAUGUAUCCUCAUCAACAUGUAUCUUCAUGUUGAUGCUGUUAAUUAUAGCUGCCAGAACAUAUUGAUAGAAUAUAUGUUUUUUAAGAUUGAAAUAGGUCUUAAUGUUAUUUUAUGAGAGGCAUAGGAAUGUAAUCAUCGAUAACACAGACAGUUAAAUACUUUAAGUUGAUGAAGAUUUGAAGGUUUGUGAAAUAGUAUUUCAAAUGGGGAACUGGAGUAAAUAUACGAUUAAUAAGAUAGACUAUAGUUUGAAGAUUGCUGAUCAAAAGGUUGGAGGCCUGAUGUAGAAGUGUAAGACUAGUUUCAACUAUAUGUCGAUGUUUGCGUUCGAUAGAGCCAACUAGUUGAGAAGUAUGUAAGGGUGACUUGAGGUGUUGUAUACUACAAGCUGAGAAACAUGAUGUCAUGGCUUGAUAUUUACCUCCAUCAUUAAUCAUCAGAGUAAACUGUUUUGAUUGUAGACUGAAAGUAGUUCUCGACCAACUUACUAAAGUUAGUAAAUAUUGUGAAAACUUUAGAUUUAUGGUGAAGAGGAUAUAACCAUGUGUACUUAGUGAAAUAAUCUACAAAAAUGAUAUAAAAUCUGAAUUUAUCAAAAGAAAUGGUUGGAGUAGGGCCCUAAACAUCGGUAUAAAUACUUUCAAAUGGUUUAGAACAAGAUAUGGAGGAUGUGCCAAAGGGUUGUCUAUGACUUUUAUUGCUAAGACAAGCAUCAUAAUGAGUUAUAAAGUUACUUGAUUUAAAAAUAAGAAGAGAAUAAUGAGAAAGUAAUUUCUGCUGGAUAAGGGACGAGGGAUGACCAAGACAACGAUGCCGCAUAUCAAUUGGAGCUGUAAUUAAAGAGUGAACAGUGGGCUGAGUUAUUUAUGGAGCUGACGACCAUUUGUAAAUGUUGCCUCUAUUCUGGCCUUGGACCAAGAAUGCCCCGAUGCUCAAAUCCUUGACAAGAAAAGAGUUAGGAAAGAAUUCAAUUGAAGUAUUGUCGUGUUUGUAGAAUUGAGAAACGGAAAUGAGGUUUCGUUUAAUGUGAGGUGCAUACAGAACAUCAUCGAGUGUAAAAGUUACGGUAUAUGAAUUAAGCGUUGUGGAACUAGUAUGAGUAAUAGGAAUUCCUUUACCAUCACCGAUGAUGAUAUCUUCAUUUUCGCCAUAAUUAUUGUGGAUGAACAAGUUCUGAAGAUCAAUGGUGAUGUGAUGAGAAGCGCCAAAGUCCAUAAUCCAAUUAGGUUGACUUGUAGUCGGAGUAGUCAUGAGAUUCGCUUGAGGCCACCGUGAUGGACCAAGGAGUCUGGGUCGAGAUCGACAGACUUUCGCAGAGUGUCUGACUUUGUCACAUAGUUGGCAUACGACUCUUUGUUGGCUUGUGAGGUCAGGACGCUAGGGCUGAUGGUUAUUGGAGUUGCCACCUUGAUAGAAAUGUUGAUGAUCCAAAUAAAGAGGGGUUUGUUUGGGACCUAUAUGGUCAGGAGACAUCUUGACCAAACCUUUAUUGACAUUCUUAUUGUACUGGUUACUCUUCCUCUUGGACUUUUGACUGACUUGAGCUGUGAUGGUUGGUCCGGGCAACUUGUCCUCGCGUUUCAAAUACGUCUCAUAGUCAGUCAACUUGUCAUAGAGUUCUUCGAAUGACAUUGGUGAGUCACGUGCCCUAAUUGUGGCUACCAAUUCCUUGUACUCAUCUCCUAGGCCAUUAAGGGUAUGGAUUAUGACUUCUUCGUCAUAAAAGGAAUGACCUAUCAAAGCUAAGUCAUUGAUGAUAACUUUGAUAUCUUGUAGAUAAUCAGCAAUGGUACUUUCCUCUUGUUUUUUUUUCUAUUAGAAUGGAUAGAAGACUGAGCAUGCGAGUAUGCGAACGAUUUGCCAAGGUUGUUUGCAGCUUGUACCAUGCUUCUACAGCAGUCGCACACAAAGAUAUCAAUAGGGUGAUAGAUCCAACAGUUGAGGCUUGAAUAACUUGUAGGAUGAGACUCUUGACGUAACCAUAGUUUGUGAGUUGGAUUUGGUACUGGACUGGGUUCUUAGGGGAUGUUGAUCAUUGCUGGUGGACAAUUGAGAGAGCCGUCUACAUAACCUAGCAAGUCAUAUCCAAAUAGGAGAUUAGAAAACUGAGCACACCAGGAUGCGUAGUUGUCGCCUUUUGAUAACUUGAAAGGGAUUAGCAUGACAACAUUGAUGGAGAUAAGUCCUGUAUAUGGAGAAGUACUAUGAUUCCUUGCAGAAACAGUAACUGAAAUGUCAGAAGUAGAUGAUGAAGACAUUCUGAGGAUGUGUACUGAUCCAAGGGCUUAAGAUGGGAGUUUGCGACCGAACAGUAAGGAAUUAGUUCCUAUACUAGCUGAUUUGGUUGUGCAACAAGAGGAAUACUGAGAAAAGUUGCAACUAUCCUUUCUGCAAAUUUUGUAGUGAAGGAUCUUUGCUAAGCAGGUACUCCUCUCCUCUCCCAAGCGGGUGUUUGAUGACCGACAACCUGCAUUUGUGCGCAAGGUGACCCCUUCCCCUUAGUGCAGCAUCCCUCUUUCUUCUCUCUUCCCCGUGAACGACGCUCCCAAGGGAAGCGCAAGUGCUACAAGCACUGCAUCAUCUUCCCUGCCACGACAAAAUUAAAAGGAACUUCUGGUUCGGCCCGGAUUUGUCGCCUCCGGUGACGUUGAUCAGAUCAACACUUUCCUCCUUGGUGAAUGAUGACUGUCUUCUUCCACUGCCACUCUGUGUCACAGUGGCGCCUCUAGUGUUACGUUCACGAGUGUUGCUCUUCACCGACAGAUCUCCACUGUAAUAUACUAUUGCUUCUCCUCCUCCAGCGGUUGUGAUUCUCUGAUUGCAGGCCGCACCUUCAACCCACCGAGUAUUGCUCGCCCAAACCCCUUCUUCGACAAAGAUCUUUCACUGCAAAAUUUGUAGAAAGGAGAGUUACAACUUUGCUCUAUAUCCCUCCUGCUACACAACCAAAUCAGCUAGUACAGGAACCAAUUUCUAUUGUUUUGUCGUAAACUCUCAUCUUGAGCCCUCAAAUCAGUACACAUCCUCAGAAUAUCUUCAUCAUCUAUUUCUGACGUUCCAAUUACUAUUUCUAUAGGGAAUUAUAGUACUUCUCCACAUACAGGACUUAUCUCCAUCGAUGCUAUCAUGCUAAUCCCUUUCAAGUUAUCAAAAGGUGGCAACUACGCAUCCUGGUGCGUCCAGUUUUCUAAUCUCCUAUUUGGAUAUGACUUGUUAGGCUACGUCGACGGCUCUCUCAAUUGCCCACCAAUAAUGAUCAACAUCCUCAGAGAACCCAAUCCAGUACCAAAUCUAUCUCACAAACUAUGAUUAUGUCAAGAUCGUCUCAUCCUCCAAGCUAUUCAAGCCUCACUUGCUAGAUCUGUCGCCCCACUGAUAUCUUCAUGUGCGAUUGCUGCAGAAGCAUGGUACAAGCUACAAACAACGUUGGAAAAUUGUUUGUGUACUCGCAUGCUUAGUCUUCUAUCCAUUCUAAUGAAAACAAAACAAGAAAGAAGUACAAUUGUUGAUUAUUUACAAAAUAUCAAAGUUAUCAUCGAUGGCUUGGCUUUGAUAGGUCAUUCCCUUUGUGACGAAGAAGUCAUAAUCCAUACUCUUAAUGGCAUAGGAGACGAGUAUAAGGAAUUGACAAUCACAAUUAGGGCACGCGACUCACUAAUGUCAUUCGAAGAACUCUAGACAAGUUGACUGGCUAUGAGACAUUUUUUAAGCGUGAGGACAGGUUGUCCGGACCAACCAUCAUAGCUCAAGUCAGUCAAAAGUCCAAGAGGAAGAGCAACUAGUACAAUAAGAACAUCAAUAAAGGUUUGACCAAGAUAUCUCCUAACCCUAUGGGCCCCAAAUAAAUCCCCCUUUAUUCGCAUCAUCAACAUUUCUAUCAAUGUAGCAACUCUAAUAACCAUUGGCCCUGGCGUCCUGACCUCACAAGUCAACAAAGAGUCGUCUGUCAGUUGUGUGAUAAAGUCGGACACUCCGCGAAAGUCUGUCGGUCUCGACUCAGACUCCUUGGUCCAUCACGGUGGCCUUAGGCGAACCUCAUGACUACUUCGGCUAUUAGUCAACCUAAUUGGACUGUAGACUUUAGCGCCUCUCAGUAAAUUACCUCUGAUCUUCAGAACUUAUCCAUCCACAACAACUAUGGCGGAAAUGAAGAUAUCAUCAUCGGUGAUGGUAAAAGAAUUCAUAUUACUUAUACUGGUUCCAUAACGCUUAAUUUAUAUACCAUAACUUUUAUACUCGAUGAUGUUCUGUGUGCACCUCACAUUAAACUAAACAUCAUUUUUGUUUCUCAAUUCUACAAACACAACAAUACUUCAAUUGAAUUCUUUCCUGACUAUUUUCUUGUCAAGGAUUUGAGCACGAGGACAUCCUUGGUCCAAGGCCAGAAUAGAGGCAACAUUUACGAAUGGUCGUCAACUCCACAAAUAACCCAACCCACUGUUCACUCUUUGGUUGCAACUCCAAUUGAUGUGUGGUAUCAUCGUCUUGGUUAUCCCUCAUCCCUUAUCCAGCAAAAAUUACUUUCUCGUUAUUCUUUUUUCAUUUUUAAGUCAAGUAGCUUUAUAACUUAUUGCGAUGCUUGUCUUAGCAAUAAAAGUUAUAGACAAUCCUUUGACACAUCCUCCAUAUCCUGCUUUAAAUCGUUUGAAAUUAUUUAUACCGAUGUUUGGGGCCCUGCUCUAACCUUUUCUUUUGACAAAUUUAGAUUUUAUGUCAUUUUUGUGGAUUAUUUCACUAAGUACACAUGAUUAUAUCAUCUUCACCAUAAAUCUGAAGUUUCCAUAAUCUUUAGCAACUUUAGUAAGUUGGUCAAGAACUACUUUCAAUUUACAAUCAAAAUAGUUACUUUGAUAGUGGAGGUGAAUAUCAAGCCCUGACAUCGUAUCUCUUAGCUUGUGGUAUACAACACCUCAAGUCACCCCCACAUACUCUUCAACUAGUUAGCUAUACCGAACGCAAACAUCGACAUAUAGUUGAAACUGGUCUUACACUUUUACAUAAGGCCUUCAUGUCUCCAACCUUUUGGUCAAUAGCAUUUCAAACUGUAAUCUACCUUAUUAAUUAUAUGCUUACUCCAAUCCUACAAUAUUAGUUCCCAUUUGAAACACUAUUUCACAAACCUCCAAACCUUCAGAAACUCAAAGUAUUUAGUUGUCUAUAUUAUCCAUGGUUACGUCCCUAUGCCUCCUAUAAGAUAACAUCAAGAUCUAAGCCUUGCAUUUUCAUAGAAUACUCUCUUGAGCAUAAUGCUUUCCGAUGCUACAACCCCCAAACCCAAAAAGUCUUUAUAUCACGUCACGUUAUUUUUGUGGAGUCUACCUUUCGUUUCCAAAACUAUGAGUCUCCUACCGUAUAAGCCACUCCAAAAAACAUUCAUCACUGGAGUAUACCUCUGAUCCUGUUGGAUGAACCUCCCCAUGACAUCGUCUAGUUCUUCCCCUCAGGAUCCACACUCUACUGCUACUCUAGUUCAGCAGCUGUCCAUUCCCUCCAUUACUUCUCCACUCCCUUCUUCUCAAGUUUCCCCUAUUGAUAAGGCAAUACAUUCAGAAACACAACCAUUGUUUUUACCUCCUUCUAGACCCAAUGACACUGAAGUACCUUAGCCUGACCCGGCCAGUGUCAAUGACUCUCCACCGCCUAUACCAACAACACAACCUCACAAUCUCAUAGCCUUCAGACAUCCAAUGACAAUAUGCCCCAAAAAGUGGUAUUUUUAAACCACGUCAAGCCCUUGACCUACAUACUAUCACAAAAUUCUCACCUAAGACCAUUGAACCCACCACAUUCACUCAAGCUAAAACAUCUCCACACUGGCGUAAAGCUGAUUGGGUAGGAAACUUUAAUAAUAGAACAUACACGUCUGGGUAUAUUGUCUUCCUUGGAGCUAAUCUAAUUAAUUGGAGUUCUAGGAAGCAAAAGACAAUCGUACGGUCUACAACUGAAGCUGAAUACUAUGUCAUCGCCACCGCUGCUGCAGAACUCAGUUGGGUCAUAAAUCUGCUCAAGGAACUCAACAUCGACUCCACUCUUACUUCUACAGUAUAUUGUGAUAAUGUUAGAGCUAUAUAUCUAUGCGUCAAUCUAGUGUUCCACUCCCACAUGAAGCAUAUUACCAUCGACUUUCACUUCGUGCGAGAUCAAGUUGUCUGACAUUAACUAAGUGUUUCUUAUGUACAUACAGUUAAUCAACUAGCAGACUUACUCAUGAAGUCUCUCGCCCGUAAACUAGUUUCAUUGCAUCGGUCCAAGAUCGACAUCCUUGAUAGGAACACCAUCUUACGGGGGCACGAUAGCAGAUAAGAUUUUUCCAACUGCACGAAGAAAUUUCGUUGCUUUGUUGAGGGAAAUCCUCCCUCAUAACCUGUAUAAAUAGGGAGAACAUAUCAAUAAACUUCAACAAAAACAUAUCUUCUAUCAUAUAUAACAUUUAGAAUUUUUAUACAUUUAUUUCUUAGUGUCUUUAUAAACCUCCAACUUUCUUUUGUUGUUGGGAGUGACUUAUAUUAGCCUAAUUAUUUGCUCUUACCUCAAGAUUUGCUCAAUCGAGUUCAAGCCACAACACCACUAAAUCCACCUUGAUAAUUUCAUAGGAAGAGUACUGGAAAAUCUCUGAAGCAGUGCAUCAUAAAUUACCUAUGUUUCACAUUUGAUAACAGUGUCAUGAUAUAUGGCAGUUGCAAUGGUAACAGAGGCAACCAUACUAGAUUUGGGUGAGGCACUUUCGAUGGACUUUGCUGACACUCAAUAGCACAGAAAUUGUUUGUAGGUUUAGCUUUUAUUAUAAUUAUAGAUUAUGUGAUCUUGACCUCUGAGUUGUGUUCACUGUUCCUGUAAAAUGGUCGAACGACAAUUAAUCUCUUAUCCCAUCUGCCACUUGUUGCACAGUGGAAUAGUGAUCUGCCCGGAAUAGUUCACUGUUCACAAGUGUUGCGUGAUGACAUAAUGUUGAUGAAUUAAAAUUGUUGGAGAUCAAAUGUGCAAUGAAACAUGGAUUAUUUAGUGUUAAAAUUAAGUGUGAUUUGAUAUCUCAAAGUAGGUUGUAUGUGCUGAGAUGAAAUAAGCAAUGAAAGAGUUACUCUCCAGCUUUCUGAGCUUAGUAGUAGACUGUGGUCAGAGACAUUUUCAAGUUUGAUCAUAUAAAGAGACAUAGAAAUGGAACUUUCCUGCACAGUUUUAACAGUGUUUCACCCCCUCUAUUAGAUUUUUCCUUGCCAUGGUGUUCUAGGUUUUAUAACCUCCGCACUUGAUUCCGUCCAACUGGAAUCAAAGUUAGUUGAAAUUUGAAUUUGAUCAAAUAUAUUGAUGCAUGCAACUGGUAGAUACAAUCAUUUGUCUCGUGGUAAAUGUGUCAAUGCAUUCAUUAUAUGGAUUGCAAUAUUCAACUUAUCAUGUCAUGUCUCAACUAUAUGAUAUUAAAGCUCAUAUGCUGUAGAUAGUGUGUCAGCAAAUGCAUCGGUGGGUGAUAUCUUGUGGUCUCCAGAUUGAAAUUACAAAAUAGAUAAAUUUUUGAUGUCAACAGCCAUUACAUACAUGUUCAUGGAAUAGGAAAAAGUGGCGAAUGUACAAUUUUCUGGGCAGAGCGAUUGUGUUUUACCAGAGAAAUUGCUUAAGAUCGAAUGCAUAUGAAACUGUAGAAUUUGCUUGCUCAAAUAGGACAAUAUAACCUUAGCACUUUUCAAUUUUGAAGGUUCCUCACGAGAACUGUAUUCCUGUAUGAUUAUCUUCAACAAGAAAAUUUUGAAUUUUUACAAGGUUGUGUCGAGUUCAUCGCACAAAACAAAAAAAGGCUUUGGAACACAUCAUAUCAAGAGACUGGAAAUUUUGCAGGCAGCAGCAGAUUACUAUUAUGUGGACGUGGUGCGUCAGCAGCUCAAUCCCAGACUAGAAACUAUCUGGUACACUGCAUUAGAUUGCAUGGUAAAGUAGAAGUUAUCCGAGUACAAAAUUGUGGUAAAGCUGUGAGUUUUAAUCGAUUCGUUAUGGUUUUGUAACCGGUGUGGAUCUUUUGUUUCCCAAAUAUUAAAUUGAUAUGGUAUUAUGGUCUUCCUUCGAGACAUGUCGACUAGCACUAAAAUAGUGCACUUAAAAAUUGACGUGUUUUGUUGUCUUGCUUCGCUUUCUUUGGAUCAUGCAAGGGGGUUUGGCGGGGAUUGCCAAGGCGGUGGGUCACACACCGUUUCCAUCCAAUUGCUCGGGGCGAUUAAUUAAGUUUCCCACCCUGCACCUGAAACUUAAUGGAUGUGCAACCAUAGUUAGUGGGAGGAAAAACUAAGCUCACGUUUAUAUCGAGUAUUUUCAAUUAUAAAAUAUAAAAUCGGUUUCGGAAGAAGCGAUUAAUUUUUGUAAAUUGCAGAUAUGAUUAUAAAUGGUUCGAAAGGGGACAAAAAUCUAUCAAGAAUAGCUAUAAAUUUUAGACGAUGUGUUGUGGCAAUGCCACCAAAUUAGCCGAAACAAGUUUUUGGUUAAUUGCUUUUCUCGGUUCCAUUCUCGAACCUUUAAAAGCCGUGCUACCAAAUCCACAGCGCAGAGCAAUAAUAAAACGCAGCGAGUACCGCUCUCUCCUCUCUCUCUCUCUCUCGGUGGAGGGGUUUAAAAAUGGCGUUUAGGUUCGCGACGGCGGCCGCAAUGCCGAAGCCCUGUUUAUCGAUAAGAGCGAAUCAAUCAAGCUCCCUCGACGUAUCUGAUCUCGCCGACGAUCAUGUCUCUCGUUCGAAGAAGAAUUUCGUCUUCAUCAUCAACCCCAAGGGUUUCUCUUUUUUCUCCUCUCUUUUCUCGUCAUCGAUCAGUUCUCUUCUUCGGUUCUUUACUCUGUCCCUAAACCUUGGAUGAAUUCAGGUGCUAAUGGCCGGACAGGCAAGGAAUGGAAGAAGCUGCUGCCCCAUCUACGCACUCGGCUCGGUGGGCACUGCAACGUGAGCUCGCUUUCUUCGUAUAAUGCCCUUAUUUAUGCCACUGUUUGGUUGCUGAAACACCAGCCUGCGUCCUUGUUGAUGAUCUUUAUCCUGUGAUCUGUUCUGCCCUCUAUGUUAUUUUAUCGGUUCUUUUUGCUUUUUGUUCUAAAGCCGGAGUUGUUCUUAUUUUAUAUGUUGCAUACCAGUUGUUCGACGAUUGACCUCUUUGUUGAUAACUAUGAUGUUGAAAAUUAUUUAUGUCAUGUCACUCUUGGGCGGUUGUUCGUCUUCAAGUCACUAUGCCUUGAUGCUUUCCUUCUGUUGUGUGUAUCUUUCUUUAUCUUUUUCUCCAUGGGUCUCUGUAAACUAAUUGUUUGCCAAUGAAGCCCAUAUCCUCAACUAUACACCAUUAUAUUGUGUCUAUGUCUGUUCUGCAUAAUUUUCGAACUGAGAUGGAGGACCACAUCUUGUAAUGAGGUUUUGCCUUGCAGUUGUGUUGUUGCCCUCGAGUAAAACAGAAAAUUUAUCAUUUUUCCUGAUACAAGCCCAUCUCAGUUUUCGUGACAAUGGUUUUAACCUUGAAAAAUAUGUGCAGUAACGUUUUAGUUUUUGUUACAUAUCUAUAUUUCAGGAUAUAAGGAUAAUGAAAAACAACUUGAGAUGAUCUUAGUAAUCACACUUUAAAACCUUCAUGUCUCUGAUGCAAUAUAGAACAGAGAUAAACAGAGUUGCAUCUUUAAUUGUUAUGGUGGUGUCGCAUUUUGAUAGGUAAGUAGAUGUAAACUGAACUUUUUCCAUUCUUUUUUUUUUUUUGAGUUCUCUUCAGCUCAUAAGCACCAUGUCAUUGUUCUAUCUGAUUUCUGAUCUUCACUUUUUUCCAUUUUUUCCUAGUUUCCCCUUGUAUGCAAAUAUAAUCUCCUUUCCAGUACAGGGCUCUUUUUCUUCUUCUUUUGUACUUCCAGCACAUAACAUCUGGUUGCCAAUUCAUCAAACCCAAAUCAUGGGAACUUUUGACUAACUUAUCCUUAAUUGAAGCAUAAUGAAUUGGAUUCCUCAUAUUAUUGAUCCUAAUAUAUUGGUAAUAUUGGAGAUAAGUAUCUUAUACUGGUCUUUCUAGAAUUACUUUCUCUUAUAAUAAAAUGGAUUAUUAGCUACAUGAUUCAUUAUAAGUCUUUUGACUUGAAGAUUUUCUUGAAUUAAAUCUGAUAUUCUCUUAAUGAUUUAAUCUCUAGUUGGAUAUUUAGACUUGACUUCGAAACGUAGAUUCUUGUGUCACAUGUUGCUUACAUUUCAAUGGUUCAAUCGGCUGUUUUUAUUGGAUGAUUCAGUUUGAUGAAAACUUCAAAGCGAAAGCCUCCAUGUGGGAUAUUCAGAAUAUUGUUCGCUACCCCAUGUACUGCAUAUAUUACUUAUGUGAAAGUGAAAUCCUUGCUUACAACAGAGAAUUAUCAAAUUGAACUUGAGUAUCAUAAAAAUUGUCCUAUGAAUUUGUUUUUUUUUUUGGCACAAGUUGUUCUCCCAUGAUUGCUAUCAACUGUUGUUCUAAUAUCUUUGAGUGACUUUGGUGCAUCAGCAAAGUAUGUGCCACGUUCUAUAACAUCCCAAACGAGGUACAUACUAUUCUGGCAGCACAAAUAGAAAAGGGGGCAAACAUAUUUAUCUUCAGUGUUGAGAGUAGAGGUUGGUAUUAAUGCUACUUCAGUGUUGAGAGUAGAGGUUGGUAUUAAUGCUACUUCAGUGGAUCAAAGUAAUUCUAUCUCAUUAUCAUCAGUAGAAAGUGGGAAUGGAAGCUGAUAACCUUGCUAGACUAGUCUGCAUUUCUGGAUGAAGCAGUGGCUGGCAGUGAGAUGGCUGAUGAAAUACUUGGCUCCAGGUGAUGUGAGUAUCAAGAUGGUACUAUGCAGCUCAUGGUCUUCGGAUGAAAGGGAGAGUAAAAAAAAUUGACAGGCAUUACUGCUGAAAUUCUAGAUUCUGAACCGAUACAAACCUGAAAUUUAACAGUUUCAACAUGUUUGUCUGAAACUUCCUAUUUCACCAGACCAUAAGACUAUGGAGUGUUGCAUGUAGGCAGUGUAACCUGGUGCAGCAAAAAGUGAAAAUCCCUCUUUGAUCCAUUAUUCUCAUAUAUAAAAUCUCUGAGCUUUAUAUUAUGCUUACUGGAGAGAAAGCUCUACUUGCAAAACAUUAUUUUAUUAUUCUAUUAUUAUUUUAAAAGGAAUGCAUCGCUCAUCAAAUUAAAAGGAUGAAAAAGAUCUCUCGUAUGCAUUUUUUUCUUAGACUGCUGUUUAUUUCGAUGCACUUCUGUUCACCAUAUAGGAAAUUGGUACUAUUUUAAUUUACAGAAUUGUGUUUGCAUCUUUUUGCCUAUUAACUUGCACUUUUUAAUUGUUAUCUUAAGAAUUGUUGUAUUAUAAACCUUUUCAUAUAAUUAGAACUUCAGCUGGGAUUAGUUUGAAUUCUUUCUCAAAAUAAGUUUCAUGUAAGUUCUGAGCAGUAUUUUGCCAGGAUUUGCACGUUGCACUCUGUUAUUGCCAUUAAUGUGUUUUUUCUUAUAUGCUUAUUAUUGUCAGAUAUGUGAGUAUAUUACUUCGGCUCCUUCUCAUGGUGUGGACAUAACAAGGGAGGUAUAAAAAUUUAUUGGAAGUAUGGUCAAUUAGUAUAUUUAAUGAAAUUUUGGAUAUAUUACCUUUUAUAUUUCUUACUGAAUCACUCAUUGAUGGGCCUUUGUAGGCAAUAAGGGAGGGGGCGGAUGCUGUAAUUGCUGUUGGAGGUGAUGGUACACUUCAUGAGGUCAGAGUACUUAUCUAAAGAUAACUGAUCAUUAGUGCUUGCUUCUUGAGUUAUUAUUCAACAUCCUUAUGGUGGACUUGCCUAAAAGAUUCUUUAGUGGAUAUAGAGUUCUAUUUAUAUAACAGUGGUUUAACUGUUUAAGGCUUUAAGCUCAAUAUAAGUUAUAUUUUCAUAUUUUUAUCAUUAUUUCUGUUACCUAUUACCAUAUUUGCCAUGCAAGAUUGCUCCGGCAUGUGACAUGCUGAAAAGAAAAUGCUGAUGCAUCAGACAACUUUUCUCAAACAAAUAGACAUCAACAUGAAUUUGUACACUAAGUUACUAACAUCAGUGAGCACGGUUCCCACUCUUAAUGUUCUGAUGUCAAACGGCAUACAAAUUCCCUGUGGCAGCAUAUUCCCAAGUAUGGAUAUCUCACUGCUUCUCUUGAAGGCAAACCAGAAAGUCCCAUACCUAUACAUGUGAUGAGGUAGCCCGUUGAUGGUAUUAUUCCUGUGCUGGCAAAAUACAGCACCAUCAAAAGAAUGUGCAUUUAACAUCUGCCAUCCUGGUGCAGUUUUAGCACAUAUCACAGUUGUCUUCAGUCUGGUCACUUAACCAGUUCUGCAACUUGAAUUACCUGCACAAAGAAAUCUAAUAACUCUAUGAAUCUGAGCGACAAUGACAAGCAGCUAGUGCAACCAGCAUAUUGUCUUAGUUUUAGUGUUUUCAUCAGGCAAUACACCUUUUUUCCCCUUUCUUCUAUGGAAGCACCUUCUUAAGGGCUGGCACUGUUGGAGAUAUACUAGGUGCUAAACAUGUUUGGAUAUUUUUUCAUUUUUUGUAUGCUUCUGAUACUAACAGGUCAUCAAUGGCUUCUUUUGUGUGGGGAAACCAGUGACAGCUCUUGAACGGGGCCCUGGAUAUUCAACGACACUUGGUGUUAGUGCUAUUAUUUAGUUUUGAAGAUGAAUCUUCUCACUUUGCUGUGUCUCUGCAUCUUUCUUCAAUUAUUUGUAUCAAAAAUUGCUAGGGUGGUUUAACUAUAUUCUGUUUUUUCAGCUCAUUCCUCUUGGAACUGGCUCAGAUUUUGCUAGGACAUUUCGCUGGUAUGUUUUCUCCUCUCUCAUGCAUGUUGCUUAUUUCAGAUUCCAUAACUGCUUGGUGUUAUUCGUUAGAUUGAUAUUACAUAUGGUUUGUUAAACCAUGAUUGGUGUUGUUAUUUAAUGACAAUUCCAUAUGGUUUGUUAAACCAGGAGAAAUGACCCCCACGAAGCGAUAGAAAGGAUUAAAAGAGGUGGUUCUGCUUAUCCUACUUCCUUCAAGCUUCAUCUAGGUUUCUAAUCUGCAGAAUAUGCAUUAAGUUAUUUGCCCCUUCAUGAUGCAAAUGGAUGAAUUUAGCUAAUAUGUGAACUCAAGAUUGAAUAUUGUUUAACUAAAUGAAUAAUACUUUCUUGGUAAUCUAAGGUGGUUUGUUCUAUUGGGAUCUUUUAGCCAUGCAUGGGAUUUUUCAUGUUAGGCUUAGAUGCACAUGCACCUUUGCCUCAAAAUAGCUUUUUGGGUCUUCAAAGAUGGGCAAAAGUGCAUUUCAUUAGCAUGGACAGUGUUUCUUAUCUUUGCAUCUUUGUUUUAUUCAUAUUAUUGGUCACUAUGCUUCAGUCGAUGUGUCUCCAAAACAUGGUAGUUAAUAUGUGACAUCCCUUAAAUCUCUCCCUUUCCAAUUGGCAUCUUUCAUAAAUGUGCAUGAUAAAGUAGUGAAUGCAAGUUAUUAGAAGUAUGAAAGAUAAUAAGGCGAUUUAUGCUGAUUUAGUUCUUUAAGUUUGACCAGUCUGGGCAUGCUUUAGUUAAGAUGUAGAAAGAGGGGACCAUCCCAUUUCAUUAUGUAAAAGUGUAUAGCAUGUGUAUUUGCAUAGUCACAACCAAACACUGGAUAUGGUGAAUGCUUAAUUCUAUGUUUAACUGACGUACUUAUCACCGGAUCUGUAGGAUAACUAAAGUUUAAGGUCUCAUUAAUUUUGAAGAGUACUUGUUGACAAGAAUAUUGAUGUGCUUCUGAGAAAUGUCAUUCUUUCAAAAUUUAUGAUUAUUUAAUUGGUCAAUGAUCAGCAAAUUGAUUCAUGCAAAAAUUUGAAACCAAAUAAGCUGUGAUACUAAAACUAAGAAUGAUGAUAUAAGAAAAUCCAUUGUCAGUUGAUGAAUGGAUCUUCAAUAUUUUCCUGGUGAAAACUAGCAAACAGAUGGAGAUUAGUAAUUAGUCAAUUUUGCCGUAAAAUAGAAUUGUUUGUUCAUUAGAUGAAAGCAUUCAUCUUAGAUAAUACUACUCACUGACUCUCUGGUUCACCUCCAGAUUACUAUGACAUUUCUGAGAUUGUAUUAUGUUUGAUGCCUUAUACAAGCUUGUAGUUCUUCUAGAAAAUAGAAUUUUAAUUGUGUCCCUGAUGUUCUGGUAGAUUCAAUGAAAUAGAUAAUUAUAAGCUUGAAUUUCUCCUCUUUUAUAUUUAUGUCAUGUUUUCUGUGCAGGGUUUAAAUCAAAAAUAGAUGUCGGCAUUAUUACUGCACAUACGGGAGAACAACAUUUCUUUAUUAAUGUUGCUGAUAUUCACUUGUAAGAGCCUAAAGUUCACUGAUUAAAAAGUGAUAUAAUCUGCGGCUCAAAAAUACUGAGUAAUAAACAUACAGGAGUGCAAAGGCAGGUUAUUAUGCUUCCAAGUACAAAGGAUUUGGAAAUUUAUGUUAUGUUUUUGGAGCUUUAAGGGCUUUUAUUGGGCAUGAAAAUAGGAAUCUGAAAGUCAAGGUCAGUGUUCUACUUGAGUAUUUGUGAGAUUGAGAGAACAUCCAUGUAUGAUAAUUAGUGAUCUAAUUUUUUUUAAACUUUCUGACACUUUCUAUUUAUACUGUGUCCUACAUUAUAGAUAAAUGGUGGAGACUGGGAAGUAUUUCAUAAAGUCACUGCUAUUUGUAUAGGAAAUGGCAAAUAUUUUGGUGGUGGCAUGAAGAUAACCCCAACAGCUGAUCCAUCUAAUGGAAAAUUGGAGGUGCUUUGAGUUUUCUCUUCUGUCUUGUUCUUUUUGGAUUUAGUUAAAAUAAUGUUACUGUUUUUAACUGUUCUUCUUGCACAUCAUAGGUUGUGAUUCUUCAAGACUUCAAGUGGUAUGACUUUGUACUUAAGUUGCACAAAUUAUACAGUGGGUCUCAUCUAUCAGAGAAAAAUGUAUGUUUGAGAAGGUAAUUUGUCCCCUCAAACAAGCUUUUACCAUCCCAUGUUGCAUGAUUUUCAUGGGUAAUUCACUCAGGGAAACUAUGACUAUGAGAUGUUGUUAAACAACAAUCUAUUUUAUUGAGAAGCUGGUUUUGAAGUUUGGAUUGAUUGCAAGUUCUGCUUUGAUUUGCAUGUCAAAGAUCAUGUUAGUGGUUAUUCCAUAUUGUACAGAUUUAAGCAUGUCACCCAAACUUUUAUUUCAUAGUUAAGGUACAAGAAGUAUCAAGAUAAUCUUUCAAUUUUAUAAAUAGCUCUCUUAUGUUAGGAACACCAGUCAGCAUUUGAUGCCGAACAUGGCAUUGACAUUUGCUGCAUUGAUGCAAGUGCCAAGCAUCCAAAAGAACAAAAUGGUAAAUGUAGAAUGUAGAUAAAGAAGUUAUACCAAAUCAAGAAUAUGAAUCUGUAGGUAGAGAUUGGGAUAAACCAACCAUACGCACCGUCAUGCCGUACGCACCUCUGAAAAGAAAAGAGUGUGACAAUGAAAUAUUAGGGCUUGGCCAGCUUUGGUAACCUUGAUAUGACAAGGAAGGGUAUGAGGUAAAAAUUUGGUGCAGAUAUUGUUCUAGCAUGAUAUAUGACACUACUUGGUCUCGAAUGACUUGAUCGAGCAAUCCGUGCUUUUACAGAACUUGGAGAGAUGAGUAUUAUUAAGUAGUUUUGUUAUUCAACACUAUAAUUUAUUGUGCCUAUUAAUAUUGUUAUAAAUAUGUUGCUUAUUUUGGCAGUUUGAAGCUUUGAGCAAUGCUACAUGUAUGAAGGUCGGUAGGGUAACUUGUUUGCUCAAUUUAUUUUUAUUGCUGCAAUAAAUGGUUCUCUCUCGACUCAAAUCUAUAGUGCACAGAUGACUUUGAGAACAAUUAUGGUUAGGUAGCAAUGCAGAUUGUUGUGGUGGAAGCUUUUGCUUCUUCAUCUCUUAUCCUUCUUUAGUAUUGUUAUAAUAUCUGAAUUUCUUUAUUGCUUUGACUCAAACAUAAUGUUCUGUAGUGUUUUACAUUCUACUUUUUACUUUGGCCAUUUUCUACUUACUUUCUGCUUUGUGCUUCUUUGUUGACCCUGCUAGACCCAUAUUGGCGAAAGCCUCAUACAUUGAAUUCUUAUUGUUACUUUUGUGUUACUCCAUGGUUUGAUUUUUGGAAAUGUAUCUGAUGCCAUAUCUAUAUGAUUAAUAAUUUGUGCAGUGUGAAGUCAAUUGAAGUUGUUGAGGAGAUGUCCAAAGGUGAUAUCUAUGUUCAAUCUGACGGUGAACAUUUAGGAUUUCUUCCAGCACAUUGUUCUAUUCUACCAGCUGCAAUCAAUUUCUUCUGCUGAUACAAAUAUUUGCAACUGGCUGUUCUCCAAUUCGACCAUCAUGGCCUUCACUUGCAGCUAGACUAGUUUAUGGAAGCUUGCAACUCGUAUGCUGUGGAAGUAGCUCUUCCUAUUGUACUGCACAUCUCAUUUUCACAUAAUUUCCCUUGUCGGAGGACUUGUGAAGUUAUUAACAAGCAGCUCACGACAAGUCCGAGAGAUUAAAUAUCUAGUAAUUGAAGAAGUUGAAAUCAAUUAUCCAGAAAAGUUGUGACAAGAUCAAACACAUAUCUUGAUGGUUUCGUGUGGCUGCUGAAGAUUUACAUAGGAUUCCAAGGAAAUGUCACCAUGCAAGUAAAAAUUUAGCUUUUCUGCGGCAACUUACUUUUACCCGUUGUAGUUAUAGUAUUGUCAGGUUAAUGAUCUUGAUAGAUCGUGUAUAAUGUGUAUGGUUUAUUGCUUUGGUAUUCAAAAUACAAAUAAUACUUAAUCAUUUUGCUGUAAAAGUGAGGUAAUGUUUAGAACCAUGAUAAGAAUUGUCAUAUUUACUUUCCAUAUCCUAAUAUGCCACCUUAGGUAAACGCAUUGUCACCUUUUAUGUAUCGUUUUCAUAAAAUUGUUCAUUCGUAAUUAUUGUGGAAAAAGUUUUCUUCUUCAAAUCAUUUUAUUCGUUCAUUGGAUUAGAAGAUUUUUAAAAAUUAUUUUCGAUAAUAUUUUAUAAAUUUAGGUCCAUGGAAAGGAAGAAAAUUCUCAUUCGAGUUUUUUAAUGAGUAUAGUCUGUCUUAUUGAACAUAGGAGAAAGAAUGAUAGAAUAAUUCUGUCCUAUUGAACGUAGGAGGAAGAAUGAUAGAAUAACUUUUUAAAUUAUCGGGAAAAGCUCUUUCUUAAGUGUUAAACCAACGAAUAGAAACAUGAUUUUAAUAUCAAUUAUCAGGAUCGAAAUCGGCAAUAAGAGGAGGGUGAAUUAGUGCUUCUAAGAAAACGUGUGAAACGAUAAAAUCAUAUCGGAAAUACUAUGAUUAUUAAUAACAUUAAUCACAUCGUUUAAUUUAAAUCUCAUUCCCCCUUCUAGCACGUCUCAUAACGUCUUGCAGAUAGCUUCAUUGUCUAAAGUUCUUACCCACAAGAUAUCACUUCAGUGGCACCAAUCAGUUACCAACGCGUAUCUAUAAAACACUGCAAGGAACUUGCAUUUGUCGUUUUGUUUACUUUCUCAUCAAUUAGGGCGUACUAAAUCAGGACCGCACGUCUAAUCAACUAAAAGAAAGAGCACUACAAUUGUCAAUCCAUAAAGAAUGAUGCGCAAAUGCAUCGUAUGUACCCCCUACGGGGGAUACCCUUUUUUUCUCGAAACGCGCAACCCGGCGAUGGUCUUCGCCUUCAUCAUGAGGUAACGCGGGCUUGCUUGGACGCUGUGAUAACGUCUCCGACUCGAUCGUCUCGUUCACUUCUUGCGAGACGAAGAACCAACAAAAGCAAGCAGACACCCACCGUCGUCGUCGUCGUCCGUAUCUUGCCGUCUUUCCUUCUUCUACUUCUUGUUUCAGGUGCGGAAACGUAGCAAAGCGCAAGCGAUCACCCCGCCAUUCCGUCUACCAGACAGCCAAUGAGACGAAGCUUGCGGUGGCCUUCGGUGUCAGACCACCUCCAUCUUUCCCUGCUUUUCCCAAGUGGUGCCUCCACUGGACCUUUAAAUUUAAAUCAAGUAGCCGUUAUGACAGUCCUCCCCAAUCCCCAUUCAAAUCCCACGCAUUAAAUAUUUGGCCGUCAGGGUAGCACCACCCCACCGUAGUAGAUCACGUGAUUGCAUAUGGUCGCCAACCGUGCACCAACGAUGAUAUUAUUGUUAUCAAGUUGGGUUGUACCAUUACUUGGUUCUAAUUUGCACGCCAAGUUAGGUUUCAUCGAUUUCAUUUGAUUAUGCUGUAAGCAUAAAAUUUAUGAUAUGUUAUAUAUAAUGAAAAAAAAUUGAUGUUAUGACUCAAAUCAAAUAAGAUUAGAUCGAUUUUUACAAUCAAAUAAGAUUAGAUCGAUUUUUACAAUACCUAUUUAUAUCAUCUGAAAAAGAUCUAUCUCUAUGUGACCUGAGCGUAAGGAGAAUUAAACUUUCCUUCUUUUUUCUUCCUAUCUUUUCAAAUUACUUAGAUUAAUGAGAGAAUUAAACUUUCCUUCUCUUUUCUUCCUAUCUUUUCAAAUCACUUAGAUUAAUGAUUUAAAAAAAUUAUGAGAAACUGUAAUCUCUCAAUUAUGUCAUGUAUCAUUUAAUCCCUAGAAGUCAUAUCUAUUUAUAGGCAAGAAUAGAAGACUAUAAUAAGUUAUUAAUAGAGUUCCUCCCAUAUAUCCGAAAAAUUUCACUAUAAUAUAUUUUUUUCUAUUGAUAAAUAUCUAUCAUCAAAAUAUAAUUAAUUCUAUAAUAUAUCUUAUUCAAUUAUAAAGAAUAAUAUAAUCUAACAUAUGUUUCACGGCAAACAAUAAUUAGCCUAAUUGGAAGCCUCCAAGAGAGGUAUCAUUGUAUAGGCUUCAUUGUAGAAGGAAUAUUGCAAAGCAUAGAUCAAAAAGCUCUGUUUAGAGACUGCAUGCAUAUAUAUAAACAAUAUGAUCUCCAUGAUGAACGGAAUAGUUAAAGCCAAGUGUAUUAAAAGGACACAAUAAAUGGUGGACCAGGCCAGCUCAAUCUCAUGUGAGCAUACAUGUACACGUUUAUGCACCAAGGAACGUUAAAACAUCAGAAGCCAGUGGUAGAGGAGGAGGAUCUACAACAAGUAUUAAGGAGAUCUUGGAAUUUGAGCAUUGUGCACCACCACCCUACUCUUGCAGCUGUGAACUGGGACAGUUAAUGAGGAUGCUCCCGUUCAGAACUCUUCCACCUGUAAAUUUACAGUUUGACUAUAAAUAUUAUAAACUGAACAGGAUUCAAGUAGUACCUUUGAUUCCUACCUAGCUGUUACGAGAUGAGGGGACAUGGUAGCAGAUGUUGGAAUAUUACUAAGCUAAAAUUUCCAGUGACUUACAUGUGCAAGUCAUUGCCACCUUGUUCUAUCGUCACGCUUGCUCAAGCUUCCUUCUUCUCUGUGAUGGUAUCUCUCUGAUGACCGAGUAGAAGAUGACUCCCGACCUAGUUUGUGUUCCUGAGCAGGUGAUGGAAAAGGUUCAGCUGGUGCGACUGAUAUAAUCAUAAUGAUAGAGUCGAAUUGGGUUAGUUUUUUAUGAUGUAAUUGACGCACAUCACGAAUUAGCAAGUCAUCCAUUUCGAGCAUAUGGAUCACAUGCCCCAUUUUAGGGCGUUUAUGUGCGUCAGGAUCAACACAGCGGAGGGCCACCAGGAGAGCUCUUUUCAGUGCUUUUGGAGAUGGUUUCUCAGGAAUCCUAGGAUCCACCACUUGCUCGGAUUUUCUCUCCCCAACCAUGUUCUUCAACCAGUCAACCAAAUUCACCUGAAAAACACAAAAGUGAAUCAUCAAUUUAGCUUACAUGUUUUGGCCUCUCGAAUCUUUUCUUUCAGCAAGCAGAACAUGGUUAAGCAGUCAGUUCUGAGGGAAAGGUAACCUCUCCUGGGGGUCUUGUAUAAUCGACGGGUGCCCUUCCUGAUAUAAUCUCCAUGAUGAGAACUCCAAAGCUAUAAAUAUCACUUCUCUCGUUCAGCAUUCCGGUGCUAGCAUAUUCUGGUGCCACAUAGCUGCAUUUAACAACUAAAUUAGAGUUGCAAAGAUCUUGAAUUGCAAUAGAAGAAGCUUCAGUAUAAAAUUCGUCUCAAUCUCACCCAAAAGUCCCCAUAACACGGGUUGUUACAUAACUCCUUUCGGAGCACAAGAGCUUUGCAAGCCCAAAAUCUGAAACCUUGGAAUUCCAGUGGUGAUCAAGUAGAAUGUUGCUAGCCUUAACAUCACGGUGGACGACCUUUGGUUCAAGCCCUUCAUGAAGAUAGGCCAAGCUGUAAACAUCAUCACCAUAUUUUAAGAGCUACUAUUGGUGUCACCAUCUCAUCAAUAAUAAUAGAUAUGAUCAGCGUUUAAUUGCAUUAAGAAAAAAAAAUUGUUUUUAAGGAAACAGUGAAGAAAAAGUAUCUGAGGAGACAGUACAUUUCAUGGUUCAACAAAAGACAAAACCAGGUCUUUACUGAAAGCUGUUUCUGGUCAUGAACAACUCUUCCAUCUAGGAAAUGGGCCAUAUUUGGUACCAAAUAUUUCCUACUAAUUUUCUUUUUCGGGAAAUAGGACUUGAUAAGGGUCACUGACCAGAUGAAACCUAUAGCAUACAUUGGACAAUGGCCAUAAAAUAUUAGCGAUAAAAUAACUUUCAAGAACUUGAACAUGUCCAAUGAUCAUAGGUUGAAAAAUUGAUGGCCUCCAUCAUCUACUGAGUGCCAACUACUUUGUGUAGGUCUACAUGGUUGUCAUGUUAUUCGAUAAAUGUCUUCAGUUCAGUUGCACGGAAACAAACCAUCAGAUAUAUGCAAUCCUCCAAAGCAUACAUGUAAAUUACCAAUACAAUGUCAUGUUUAGAUUGUGAGAUUGAUGCCUCAUUUGGGUGGUUGGUAUACUUACAUCAAUAAUACUAUUUCAUAAACACAUUUUUUGCAAUACAUUAAGGUUAUGAAGAACAUGAUAACGGCAAGAUGAAGUUUUGCCGAUCUAUCUCCUAGUCCGGUUGUAAGAGAGAGGAUAGGGGAGUAUACCCUUUUGCAGUUCCAAGUAUUAUGUUCAUCCUGAUGUCCCAAGUCAGCGGACUAACUUCUCCGACGCCUCCGUGCAGCCACUGUUCCAGAUUACCAUUGUCUACAUACUCAUAAACGAGCAUCCUAUCCAAAGAAAACAAAGAAUGCAGAUUAGCAGACAAUCAUUCCUUGAGAAGCUACCCCAUCAUAAGCAUUUAGCAGAACUAAAGCAAGAAGCUUUAGAAUGUAGAUCAACACACUGAGUAGAAUACCUAUAUUCCCCCUCAACGCAGUAGCCAAGCAAUCUAACCAGAUUCUUGUGCCUGACACGCCCAAUUGUUUCAACCUCGACCUUAAAUUCCUUCUCAGCUUGCCCCCUGAUGAAAAGAGAAACAAAAAAAAAGGGAAAAAUGAAUGGAUUUUUCUUUCUAACAAUUUUAGAUAUAGUUACUACACAGAUCGUAAUCAUGCAUUAUCAUCCGAGAGUGGAACAAAUCCACAAGUGAAUGGAAGCACAUUCUCAUGUUCAACUCAAUGACCACCACAAAGUAGAUUGAGCAUCUAAAGCACGAUUGAUCUCCGGUUGGAAUCGGAACAACACGAAAACAUGCAAGUGAAAAAGGGGCAAAUUUUAGAACUUGAUCAUGACGCAAUCUAUAAAUCGAGCAAUCGACGGAUCUGUGAUUUGGGAAGCGGGCACGCACCUGUUGUUGAGCAAAUUCUUGACGGCGACUAUGGUGUUAUCCGCCAACACUCCGCGGUACACGAUGCCGUACCCUCCCUCCCCGAUCACGUUCUCCUCGGCCAGACCGCCGGUGGCCUCCUCCAGCUCCCGCAACGUGUACCAGUGGCCCCACCCCAGAUGCGACACCUCCGGCGGGCCCCCGCCGCCUCCCAUGGACGAGGGCGUCCCGAUGGUCUCGCCGCUGACCGUCCCCGUCGUGGAUGCGGACGGCGGCGCCGCCGGGGGCCGUGGGUGGCUGUUGUGGUGGUGGUCGGCGAGAACGACGCGGUGGUCGGCCUUGCCGACGUCGAUCCGAACAUCGGCGACCGAGACGGGGGCGGCGGCCGCGGCAGCGGAGGCGCUUUGAUGAUGGUGGUGGUGGAUCUCGGGGAUGUCCUUGGUGACGGGCGCGGUGGAGUCUUGGAGGUGGAGCUUGAGGGAUUUCUGCGGCUUCUUGCGGGGGGAAGAGGAGGGAGAGCGGCGGCGGGAUGUGAGGCAAAGGGAGAUGAGGAAGAGGACGAGUACGAUGGCCGCGCCGACGCAGAUGCCGAUGACCACCCACAGCCUGAGGCCGAAGACGGACGUUUUCUUCGACAGCUCGUUGUUGAGGAAUCCUCCGUUCCAAAACGACAUCUUGCCCCCCCUCCCUCUCUUUCUCUCUCUCUCCCCUCCUCAAGCACCUUCCUAUAUAAAUUCUUGUAUUGGUAAAAGAAUCAGAUAGAAUCGAGGAGGAAGAGACGAGAACGAGGAGGAAACGAAGGCAUUCGGAAAAGCUGGCCUGCGAUCUGAAACCAAAGUUGACUACAAGCCGAGAGAGAGAGAGAGAGAGAGGAGAUUGAUCUAAUAGUGUACUAAUGGCACAACGUGGGUGGCUUUGUUGUUAUUAGCGGCCUAAUAGUUUCGUGGGAGCGCAGACUCGGAGAGGUGCUUCGGGCAAGCAGCGCAUUGUGGCCGGUGGUGGCGAGACGAGGAUGCCGCGCACGUGACGGAGAAGUGUCGCUAGAGAUAGAGUCACGUGUUUCCGAAACAUUUUUAACUGCCACGUGUAACGUCAUGCCAGUUAUCAGACAGCGCAACGCGUGCAGUACUCGAAUUGGGGCGGAACAAUAAAAGAUCAAACCCGGUCCAAUUUGAUGGAUUUGAAUCCACGGUUCGAUGUGGUUCGCGUACUCAAUAUGGUGUGUGUUUAGGUGGAAUGUAGUAAAAGAAUGAGAUGAUUGCCUCAUGAAUUUUCCAAUUUUUUAUUAUUUUGAAAAUCCAAAAACAAUAUCCUAUAGUAGGAAAAAUAUCAUAUGCACAUAAAGAGAGUUGGACUUAAUAUAUAUAUAUAUGGAAUGUUUUUGAUUGGAUAUUAAAUUCCUGCAAUUGGCAUUAAUUACUAACUAAUGCAAAGCUAAGAAAUGCUUACAAAUAUCCAGAAGAAGUUUUCUAAAAGAAAAAUAAAAAAAGUAGAUAAAGAAAUUUACAGUCAUAAUUACUGAUUCUUACUCAGCAGUUGCUAUUAUCGAUUACAAAAGCUCCUGAUUUAUUUUGUCUCUCAGGAUAGAUAAUCCAUGACAAAAGUUUGAAUUAACAGUUCUCAUCAACAACUACUGAAAGAAACUAAGAACUUAAACAAAUGCUGCAGAUCCACGAGAUUGGAGAUGCAAGCCUUUUAGCCAAAGUUGAUUCCUUGGCAUGUCAUCUCAUCAUUUGUAAGCAGCUUUUUGGCAUCAGGAAUGCCUUGGGAAUGGAGCAAACAAAUUUUCUUUUCCUCCGACAACGUUUACAUUUUUGGGUGCAGAUAUGUUCUUUUGGGAAGACGACUGUCACAUGUACAUUAAUAAAAAAAAAAGACGACUGUCUUUGUUUCGAAGUAUAUCAAGCCUUUGUUGUUUAAAAGAUCAACGACGAAAAUUUUUAUGGACAAUUCAUUUCUUAGUUUCUAUAAAAGUUGCAUGUAUAUGAUCAAAAUUGUGCAUAUGGCCUUCUAAAUUCUCUGUAAUAUAAAAUGUAUUCAAGUUUUGGCCAUGUAAAGAGCAUUGCUAUACUAUGUAUGGUGUUGUGUAUCUAGAAUUGUGUAAACCAAAACCAUUGACAUAUUCCAGUUUUUUCGAGAUAGUAAAGAGUGUUUCUCUAAUAUGUAUGAUAUAUGAGUAAAUGUUGUUAAAAACAGAACAUUUGAGUAUGUCAUUUUCUAUUUUUAAUAGUAAAAUGGGUAAUACCACGAUUGGCUUUUUUUCAUUUAAAGUAAAAUAUCAUACAUUCAUGUAAUAUUUUUUAACAUUUAAACUUCUAAUUAUGUCAUAAACACCUGGUAAAAAUUUAGUCUUCAAAAAUUAUUUCCUUAUAUGUGAUGCAUUAUUUUUGACCAAAAUCAAAAAAUAGUGCAUCACAUAAUAGGACUUAUCAAGAUACUAUAAAAUUUUGAGGAUACUUUUAUAUUGGAUCCAUACGAAUAUAUUUCAAUGUUUUUUAUUUUAUAAUUUUUUUCAGUAUUUUUCAGAAUUAUUCUAUUCUUGCAUAGUGUAUCAUUUUUUAUUUUUCCUCAACAUUCAAAUAUCCAUAAAAAUUUAUGCACUCAUGCAAAUUAUUUUUACAUUUAAGCUUCUAAUUAGGUCCUGAGCACUUAAUACAAAUUUGGCUCUCAAGAAAUAUUUCCUUAUAUUUGAUGCACUGUUUUUGGUCAAAAUCCAAAAACAGUUAUCAAAAUACUUUAAAAUUUUACAUAUACUUUUCCAUUAGAUCCAUCCAAAUGGACAUAUUUCAAUGUUUUUUUUUAUUUUAGAUAAUAUUUUGAUAUUUUUCUGAAUUAUUUAGUUCCUACACAAUGUGUCAUUUUUUUCUAACUUUUUGAAAUUUUCACAAAAAAUUCAUGUACUCAUGUAAUAUUUUGUAAUAUUUAAGCUUUUAGUUAGAUCAUGAAUACCUAAUAAAAAUUUGACCCUCAAAAAAUAUUUUCUUAUAUAUGAUGUACUAAUUUUAGCCAAGAUUCAAAAAUAGUGCAUCAUAUAGCAGCACUUGUCAAAAUAUUCUAAAAUUUAGAUAAUACCUUUGCAUUAGACCAACAUAGGCUUAUUCCUUUUAAUUUUAGAAAUUAUUUUUAUUUUUUAAAUUCUUUUUAAUUUCACAAAGCACAAGCCUCUGCUCUUGUCUUUUAAUUGGCAUAAGAAGAUCAUCUUACAAAGAAGAUUGUCACAGAACCUCACAAGAUCAUGUUGGAUCACAUAUAAGCAAACAUGAGGAUCAACUCCACCACCUUUGAUAUUUCAUAGCACAAGGACAAAAAAUUUCCACAGAAUCUACGAAGAUAAAGAAACAAAAAUAUAUCUAGUGAGGAUAAGGCUGUACCAUUGGUUUCCGAAGAUAAGGUUGUCGAUGAUGCAUCAAAGACUAGCCAAAAAGUGUGCUGUUCUUUAGGUGGACGAUGGAAACUCUCCUGCAUCAAGUAGGAUUACCCUCACCUCCCCUUGCUGAAAGAGCUUUCCCAUGGAUCAGAAGCAGCUCAAACCUCGUACACCACACUAAUCUUCUCCAUGCACUGAGAUCUUCAAAAAGAAGAGCAGCACGGCUGCAAGCCCAAGGGAGAGGCUUUGGUGUGUCUGUCUCAGAUAGGAAGGCCAGGCCAGAAGAAGAUGACGGCGUGUACCGCAGCGAAGACGGGGACGACGAGAUUCCACAAGUGGUGUUCGAUAGGAUGAUACGACGCAUAGUGUUCUCUGUGGGGGCUCCAAUGGCGUCCGGCAUCGGAGUGCUGUAUCUCGAAAGCUUUCUUAAGAAAAGCCAGCUAUGGGAAGUACCGGGAUGGCUGCCAUUGCUGACCAUCCUGCUGUCCUUCGGGACGUCCGCCUUGGGGAUUGCUUAUGGGACGCUAUCCACUAGCUGGGAUCCAAACAAGGAAGGAAGCCUCCUUGGGUGGGAGCAAGCUCGGAAGAAUUGGCCUGAGCUGUGGAAGGACGAAGAAGACGAAAGCAAAUGAUCUGAUGCCUCGAGCUACAUAGAAUUUUCUCGACUGUAAUCCAUGUUUACUGUUGCUACUCUGUUCAUGCAACACCCUAAAUGACCUUCUUCUACGGUUGUUAUGUCGGCCAAAAUAUAAGCUUGAUGAUGAAUGGAUAGCGAAGGCCUUGCGAACUUAUCUAUGACUCUGUAGAAUUUCUUACAUGAUCAAUGCAAAUCAAAUCUUUGGAUUACUUGUGGAGUUGGUGUGUUCAAAAUGCUGAUAGUUGUGUGCUCAAUACCAAAACGAAUGAGAUUUCAGGAUAAAGAAGAGGAAUGAGGACUGAAACAAUGAGGUGUUGAGCAUAAAUUGUGAGGUUUUAAUUCGUUCUUUGAAGAACAAAUUUAGGGAAGGAGAAUUUUGCAGAUACGACAUUUAGCUGGUGCUCUGCGUCUGCGUCUCAGAAGUGGCGGCGAGUUCGAAGACUGGAAUAGCCACGGCGGAGAAGAUCGGGUGUUUGCUCGUAGCCGGAGAACACACAUUGCCAUACAUCAGCGAACGCGCGGAGAAUGGUGCCGUGGUGUCGCGGAGAGUUGAGGGCAAGGAACCGGCGGAGCAGCUCCCUCAACCCUGCACCGUCCACGAUUUCCUCCUCGACGAUCAUAUGCAGCAACGACCGCCGAAACUCACCGAGUGGAUUCUCCGUCUCUUUCACCACCACGACGCCGUCCUCCGCUCUUCUCCCUCCUUGGCUGCUGCUACGACAGUUCACCCUCUUCUCUUCCUUUCCGCCGUAGACGCUCGAAGAAGCGUGGCUCCCCCAAGCCAACACGCUCUGCUCCAGCUCGUUGAGCUGGCGUAGAAGCUCGGGGAAGCUGGGCGUGCUUGCCGAGCUUUCCGUCUUCACCUCCGCAUCAUCCUCCUCGUAGGAGGAGGAGGUUUCGGAUGUCAGGGUGAGGGUGAGGGUAUCCGCAGAAGAGAAAUCCCCGACCCUGGGCACCUGUGGCGGCGUCAACGUCGACUUGCCGCCCGAGCUGCCAGGCACCGAAACCGAUUUGGAGUCGGUACAGCCGCAGGCAAGUGACAGAAACGAGCCACUUCUCCUCUUCUGCACGUUUGUACUCAUCUUCUCUUUCUCUUCUCUUCUCUUCUCUUCAAGGUGUCCUGAAGACGAAAUCACCACCCAGUACAUCCGCCUCCAACUAGAAGCAGAUGGUCGGUCCCCUCGUCAGAGUGUAACGUCGAUAUAGAUUGGCCUGCAAGGAUCAGUACAUGCACACGCAGCUAAGCUCAUGGAACUUUGCAUGCAGGGAGACUUUUGUUGUGUGUGAGAAGGGGAGGAGGUCAGCGUUGAGCGCAGACAAAAAGAUCAACUGUGGAGGAGUUCUUCGAGUGCCUGACAGCUAAGGUAUGAUCAAGCUGAUGGGCAUGUCCCAACCAUCGAAGAUGGCUGACGUAUAGGGGGAGGAAGAAGAAGCCAAAGCAGAGAAAAAUACAGGUAUUCCGUAUUUUUAGUGAUAUAUUGGAUGUCUAUUUGGACAUACCAUUUGGGAUGUCGGAGAACAGAACAAGAUAUGAAAUCGAUGUGUUUGCCUGUGAUGUAAUCCACCUCCGCCAAUUGUUGGGACGAUUAAUUUUGUGAAUACGUUCUCAUUAAAUCAUUCGAAUGAAAUAAAUUACUAGGGUUGGGAUCCUCGAGACAAAAUCUAAUUUAGAUUUUGAUCCAUAUAGUUUUGUUCUUUGGUCGACUCCAUAAUAGGUCUUAUGGACCAACUUUUAAAUGAAUCUACAGAGAACUAAAGGCUUAUAUAGGCCGGCGGUUGGGUUUAUGUGAUAGAUUAUGUCCUCGCACAAUGAUCAAAGAUAUGAUGGAAACAAAAUAAAUGAUGUGUAGUGACUUGAGAGACCAGCCGCUUCUUUGUUGCUUGUUUUAGGAAGUUUGAUGGAACACGUUGUAUAUGAUAUGGGAAGCUGUUGGCCAAUGCUCGUCGCUUGAUUCGACACCAGACAUAGCAUAAAUCAAUAUGAUGAGACUGGAGGCAGUCGCAAGCUAUCAAAGUACAGGAAGGGAGAAGAUGAGGAUCAAAUGAAUUGAAGUGAGAAGGAGAGAAGUUUAAAUUAUUAUGAGAGGAUGAAGGGGUGACUUGCAUCGUUGGAAAAGACACACUUGUAUUGAUGCAUGAGAAUCCAAGUUUAGUUUUGUGGGGAUCUAAUUAAUAUUAUGCAUGCGUCCCCACGACUUGGAGUUGUCACAUCUUGGAUUGCAACUCAUCAUGGUGAUGAGCUCUGUGGGUUGGCAAUAUUGGAACUGUGGGUGUGACUGUUGGUGGUGGCGAUCCUGACAGCAGCAAUGAUUACCGGCAAAAAAUUAUUCAUCUUGACCAAAGCUCUACACAGAUUGAGGAGGCCGAAGACAUGAUCGAAGUUAAUCUGGUUGAUUCAGAUAUCAUUAGCGAGGGACAAUCUCUUCGUGAAAAGAGCCUUACAUAUUAUAGUUUAGUCCUAUGUUACAUGGAGAGUAAAAAAAACAAAUUGAAUAAAUUUAUAAUCUUAGAUUAGUCUAUUAUUAUUAACUUAGUUUAGGUAUUUUGAAUCAAGAAAUUAAUGAAGUAAUGUGAUGGAACUAUCGUUGUGCGAAGGAAGAAAGAAAGGAUGCAAGUGUAAUCUUUUUUCAAUUAGUAGUAAAAAGGAACUACUAGUCUAAAAUCAAAUCAAAUAAAAAAAAGAGAAAUCAACGACAAAGAAAAAUUUUAUUGAACUUCUAAAAAGAAAAAAUACUUACGAUCUUAAAUGAUUCUUAGAUUUAGACUUGAAAACUUGAGGCUUUUUUUAAUUGAUAUACAUAUACGUACCACCUAUUUAUAGAUAUAAAAUAUAAGAGACUUUAAUCUCUAUGACUCUAUCUAAUUUUUUUUGAAAUCUUCUAAAAUAUAUUUUAAACUAAGAAUGUCUUAUCUAUAAAACUCUAUAUAAUCUUAUUUAAAAUAUAAAAUAUUAAUUNNNNNNNNNNNNNNNNNNNNCUAUGACUCUAUCUAAUUUUUUUUUGAAAUCUUCUAAAAUAUAUUUUAAACUAAGAAUGUCUUAUCUAUAAAACUCUAUAUAAUCUUAUUUAAAAUAUAAAAUAUUAAUUUAUGAUCUUUCAAAAUAUAUUUUAACUUCUUCACACUCCCCCUUAAAGUAUGUUUUUAGAGAUAAGUUCCAACUUAAUUGGAAGGUCAUGCCCAUAACUGCCACCAAGUAUGGGAUCAUAUGUAAAAAUAUGAUCUCGACAAAACUGUUCUCUAAGGUAUACGUGAAUUUUACCAUACGGAUCCUUUUUUAUACUAUUCGAAAAUCUACUUGAAUCAAGUUGCUUCAUUUAAUAACUUGUAGGACCAUCUAAAAUACCUUUUGACUAAGAUCCUGAUCCAAGCUUAUUAGAUGUAAUACCACUAAAAUUUCAAACUGGACUUCGUAUAAAAAGCACAACAUCGAUACAAUACAAUGAUCAAAUUCAAGAAUAGACUUGUGCAAAUUAAAAAUGGUAUUAAAUUCCUCAUGAAAACCAACAGGAAAUGAUCUGAAUCUUUCAUAUGGCAAAGGCCUAAAAGUAUCUUUAGGCAAUCCAUGAGCAAAAAUAGAAUCAUGUAUGCCAUCAAUUUAAAAUUUCCCUAGAAUCACAUUAGCCUUAACAUCUUUAGCUUCAUAACAAGUAGGCUCAAGUUCAAAAAUAAGAAAUAGUGAGAUAUGUUUACAUUGUCUCCAUCUUUGUAACGUGCUAGUUUGACAAUAAUUCUUUUUUUAUAUUUUUAAUGUUAGAAUUUCUUCUUCAUGAACAUAAUGACUCUGCUUAUUACUUUGCUUCAUCAUUAGUGAUGAUGAAAUAAUAUGAAUAUAUAUAGAUGAGGAAGGAGAUGAACCAAAACCUAUAAGAGCAUUAGAUAACAAAGGAAUCUCAACCACAAGUUUUGCACAUGUAUUAUUUUUGUUAUUGUGAUUGAUAUUUAAUUCUUUUAUAUCAUAAAGAAACUUGUUUUCAUUAGGACAAAAAAGAACAUAAUUUUCAAUAUCAAUUGUAUUUGUAACAUAGAAGAGAUUUUUCUUUAUAACUAGAAUAUGAUAUAAUAGGAUCAUUGUAUGAGAUUAUGAUAGUAUCUUCCUUUUUCACUUGAUGAACGGUGUUAUCUAUCAUGAUAAUUGCAUCAUUAUCUUCAUAUCGAUAAAGAUUGAUGAAUUUGGUACAUCAAUAAUGGGAUGAUAACCACAUCCUAAAUCAACAAUUCAUCAUUUUCAAAAUUGGUAGAUAUCAUGGCCUUAGUAGUUUCAAUCAUAAAACAUUUGCCCCAAUCUUCAUCAGUAGCAUUAAAACAAUCUUCUUUAUUUAUAAUAUUUUCUUCUUUAAUCUUCAUUAUUCUUAAUAUGGCCUAACUUGCCACACUUAUAACACUUGAUCUUCUUUUGAUUUAUACUAUUAUUUGAAUAAGACUCUUACUUGUUAUUAGCAUCAUCAUUUUUCUCUUUAUCUUUAUCAUUACCUUUUUUUAUUUGUAAAAAGAAUAUCUUUAUCUCCCCCUAAAGUAGAAAAUCCUAUCAUUUGACGAGCUAAGGAUUCCUGAGAAUCAAGAAGAUUUCCUAACUCUACUAAGAAUGACUGCUGAACGCAUCCUUGAAAUGAUAUACCAUAAGGAAUAUAUUCUUUUUAAGAACCACGAAUAAUAUAGCAUUUCAUUCAAGCAUCAAAAAUUGGUUCAUAUGGAUCUAAGAGUGAUAUCUCUUUAACAUAAAUUUUAAUCUUCAAAAAAUACUAAGAAAUUAAGAGAUCACCUAUUUAUCAAAUCAUUCUCACCUAUGAAUAAUGUCUUCAAAGAUAUCAUGAGAAAUAGAUCUUUUUAAUAUAAAUUCAAUUUUUGCAUUUAAAAUUCUUCAUCUUUUCAUGCCAUCUUCAUGUACAGCAUCUUGUGCUGUUGUUGCAUUGUCACCAAUCAUAUCUCAUAGAUCUUCUCCUAUGAGAUAAGACUCCAAACAAAUCUUUUAGAUCUUAUUGUUAUAUUGAUUGAGAAAUUCAAUACUAAAUCCACCAACUUUACUAUAAUAUUUCAUAGUCACAAAAGAUUAUCUUCUUUACUAAGGAGAUCUUGAAAAUACAGAUUAUCACUAUUGUGACUCUGAUACCAUAUAAAGAAAGGGAGGAUCACAUGCAGGUACAAUCUUUUCUAUACUACUAAUAAUGUACUACUAGCCCAAGAUCAAACUAAAUAGAAAAAAAAAAACUAAGGUGAAAAAAAAAAUUUAUUGAACUUUUUAAAAAGAAAAAUAUUUAUAGAUCUAGAACACGACUCUUAAACUUGAAUACUUGAAGCUUUUUUUAAUUGAUAUAUAUAUAUAUAUAUAUAUAUAUAUAUAUAUAUAUAUAUAUAUAUCACAUAUUUAUAGAUAUAAAAUAUAAGAGUCCCUGAUCUCUAUAACUCUGUCUAAUCAUAUUUGAAAUCUUCUAAAAUAUGUUUUAAACUAAAAAUUUUAUAUUUCUAAAAUUUUAUCUAAUCUUAUUUAAAAUAUAAAAUAUUAAUUUAUCAUCUUUCAAAAUAUACUUUAACUUAAUCGACAAGGGUUUUAUUUUGAACUAUAUUAUCUACGUAAUUGAAUGAAAUUUUAAUAUUUUGGAAGAGAACACUCCAAAAUGAUUAUCCGAAUUUUAAUACGGCAGGACCAACUUAAAAAUUACCAGUAGCAGCUACUAACCAUUUUUAUGUGCAGUUGGAUCUUCUUGCAGGAUAGCUACUAACCAAUGCGUCGCGUAUGGCUUUUGGUAAGCUUAGUAUUUGAUAAGGUGGCCUGAAGGGCCCAAAGUUUAGUAGGAUGUCAUUUGAUUCUGUGGCAUCCUUUGGCAGAGGAGCAAAUAGGCAUUUAUAAGGACACUAUUAUCUAAUAUUACCUUUUAACUUUAGCUGCCUUUGCAUUCGCUCUUGAAUCUAUCUGCACGCACUCCGAGCAAAAGUGGAAAUCACUUUUUCCCACCUUGUCCAGAUGCUUUAAAAGCUGUGUGUGGCUUAGAUCAUACGCUAUCAGAGGGAGAAUGGUGAACGGACGUCCACCGAACUGAGGAAUGAGGAGGCCAUGGCAGGACCGAGAGAAGAAAAUGUGUAGGCCUACUGUUCCAACUUUUGGGUAAAAGAUGAAGAAGCUCUUUUGUGCUAUAAAACUAGUCUGCUUGAGGCUUCCUAUAAUUUAUGCCUACUUUGUUAUUCUUCGUUUUACUUCUGUGCUAUAAAAAUGAUUUUUUUUUCUUUCGCUUUUAGCAUCAUUUAUGAAUAAUUUUUUCUUACUUAAUCCUUCGUUAUAUGUCCAAACUUUGAUACUAUUUAUCAUGAUCUAAUUUAAUGAGAUAACUGAAUCGUUAAUUUGAUGAUAAUAUAUAUAUCGUGAUGAAAAUAAUAGAAGUUAAAAAUAAUCAUCGAAGAAACUUUAUUGAAGAAACUUUAGUGAAGAAGUGAAGAAGCUUAAAUACAUUAACAUAUCUCUCUCCGAUUAGGAAGAAGAAUUUUCCUCAACAGAAUAAAGGAUGGAGCCUCUUAGAAAUUUGGCUACAGCGAUGUUGGUCGCUGGCCGAAGACAAGGGGCUGGCCGAAGGCAAGAGCAAUGCUUCACUUUUCUGACUCUGAUACUAAAAUAAUAAAAGAUAAAAAUAAUUAUUGAAGGAGUAAAGAAGCUUAAAUAUAUUAACAUGUCUCACUCUUAUUUAUAUAGAUUAGGAAAAUCUAACGUAUGAUUCACGCAGAAUCUAUCAUCGCAACCAUUUGACUUACAGUCACCUCCCAACAUGUCAGAGUUACUAUUGGAAUAUGCCAACAUCAUCCACAGUCAUGACUUAGGUGUCCUGCACAUGGAGGCCGUCUGUGGGAUUCCGACGGUCUCCAUUUGGUCGAACCUCCUUUAACAUGCCUUCUUCUUCUUCUUCUUCUUAGCAGGUGGUGAAGGUAAAAGAAGUGGGAUCCAAGUUAUCACGUACCAUACAAGUCGAUCUCCGGCCUGUGACGGUGGCUUGCCACCCCCACCCCCCACUGCACAUAUGUGAGCCAGCUGAAGGCUUCAAUGACGAACUCACUCUCGCUUUAAUGAAACUUGCCGUCGAUGUCCCCGCAUCAGAUCUUGAUGACAGUGCAGCACAUUGGAUCAAUUACUCUGUCGAUUGCCACUCGGAAGAGUUCUUCCUAUACUUAAUUCAUAUCCAUCCAUUGUCCGAUCAUGCGUAUAGAUUAAUAUACCACUUCCUGCAUAUCCAUGUUUGUUGAGAGUCAAAGAAACUCUUCGUUCCAAAUCCAUUGAAUCAAGAAAAGCAAAGCCAUGUAUGUUGAUGCUGAUGAAUUAGGCUUAAGGCAGUCUGCGUCUCUCUUUUUAGACUGAAGGAUUCUUGUUUUACAUCCGUCAGCUUCACCAAAGCUUUUAAGGGUGUAAAAUUCUGACCGUUCAGUGUGCAAUUGCUUUGUGUUCUUGUCUUUCUGCCUCAUCUCUAUGUCCUAUUUUGUUGUCCUCCUACAACAAAUAAUACACUCCUGUGAUUGCGUUUUAGGCAAUGCCUGCCUCUCUCUCUCUCUCCGGUAUAGUGCUUCAGCAAGACGUGGGAGACCAUCUCGCUUCGAGUGCCGGUGAAAUGCUCGACCUUUCCUGGUUUGGGACGAAACUUCUUUCGCUCUAUACCCUAUUCCGUUCCGACACUGUGGCAUCCCAAUAGAAAGUCCCAUUCGGGCUUACCCAACGAAGCCACUUCCGAGCCUUCAAGGCGUAUAAAGUACAAGUAUGCUGCUAAAGCUUUCUGGCGAUAUGCCCUCUGUAGAACCGUGUCAAGCUAAGGAUGGAGUGAUAAUUGAAGAGAUGCAUGACGAAUGAGAGAGAAGGAGAGAAUAAGAAGGCUUAGCAAGAGAACGAUCCAGACCAUGCCAUCGUCCACCAACCUUGCAGAAUAGGAUGACGAAUGAGGUGACAAGGAGGUACCUUUUUCUCGCUCCACACCACGCAAAAUACAGUCGCCCCCCCUAUAAUUCUCCCGUUCGUGUCGCUCCAUUUUGCGUAGGAGACCUGCCUACUUGGAUCCCCAUCACCGUUUCCUCUGCCGCCUUUCCCUUCCCUUCCUUGGAUCACUUUUCUUCUUCUCCAAACAGAUACCUCCACCCCUCUCUGCCUCUCCUUCUCUUGGUCAUUCGCAUCUGCAGUUUGUGGCUGCUUCAAGGGAUGAAGGUGAGAUGUAUUCUUUUUUAUGCAUUUUGGAUUCCUUCCUCCUGUCCUGAUGAUGGCUCGCUAAUUUUUAUUGGAUUCCGCCAUCGUAUUCUUGGGGCCUCUAGUAGAUCUUCUGAUGUCGUGAAGAGGAAUCAUCCCGUUUAUUCUUGUAGAAUGAUUCUGAUGGAACUUUUCAUUUUCUCUCUUCUUUUGAGAGAGAAAAGCUUUCAUCUUUAUCUUCGUCACUAGAGAUCUUUAAUUCUGAUGGUUCAAUCUCUGAAGAGCUUUGUUUGGUUACAUCUCUUCCAAGUCUAUGAGUAGGCGACAGAGUUUAAGCCUCUAAUGUGAUCAUCCAUUCAUUCAUCGGUGUGACUUGUAGAAAAUUGUGUUGAAAUUGGACUUGCAUGAUGAUAAGGAAAAGCAGAAGGCCAUGAAGACUGUCUCUACCCUUCAAGGUAUCGUAUGCUCCACCUUUUCGCUCUCGUAGCGUAUUCUUUGUUUCUUGUAAGUCAAUUUCCAUUAAUUUAGAUAUCAGAAUUCACUAGAUAAAACAGAGUCCAUUCAGUACAGAAGCUAGAAUGACUGCUUCGCAUCAUACUGUAUCGAACAGGGAUCGAUUCCAUUGCGAUGGAUAUGAAAGAGAAGAAGAUGACGGUGAUCGGUUCCGUCGAUCCCGUGAGCGUCGUGAGCAAAUUGAGAAAAUUCUGGCACACCAACUUAGUCUCAGUUGGACCUGCGAAGGAGGAGAAGAAGGAGGAGCCUAAGAAGGAGGAGCCUAAGAAGGAGGAACCCAAGAAGGAGGAAGCCAAGGAGGAGCCCAAGAAGGAGGAACCCAAGAAGGCGGAGGAGAAGAAAGAGGAACCCAAGAAAGAGGAGAAGAAGGAAGAAAAGGAAGAGAAGAAAGAGGAGCCCAAGAAGGAGGAGAAGAAGGAGCCCCACGACCAAAUGAUAGCGGACAUGGUGAGAGCAUACAAGGCCUACAACCCUCACAUGACCACCUACUACUACAUGCACAGCGCCGAAGAGAAUCCAAAUUCUUGCAGCAUCCUGUGAUCAUCGUCGCGUCUCCAGAAAAGAACCAGAAAAGAAGAAGAAGAAGAUGGCAUAAUAACUCCGUGGGGCGAUUUCCCUCGACGACUCUGUGGAGUGACUAGUCGAAACUCUGCUACUUGGCUUGAAGCAAAGUGUGUGUAACGUAUUCGAGGUGGCCCUGUACAUAUGGCUAUGUGGUGAUGAUGAUGAUGAUGAUAUGGGCAAAUAAAGUGAUCAGUUUUGAUUCCUUGUCAAUUUCUCCCAUAAAAUUUUGACAUUAUUACAUGUAUCUGAAGAGGGUUUUGGACCUCAUUCUUGAUCUCGAUGGCAUAUCUUUGUCAUGUCGUUCGACUUGAAUAUCCUGUAGGA
Molecule: long non-coding RNA, 39457 nt
Filed under: Musa acuminata (dwarf banana)
Lineage: Eukaryota; Viridiplantae; Streptophyta; Magnoliopsida; Zingiberales; Musaceae
Description: long non-coding RNA (MACU_LNC006376)
Source: RNAcentral